GCCUCCUUAGCUUAGUCGGUAGAGCAUCCGCUUCGUAAGCGGGAGGUCGCCGGUUCGAUUCCGGCAGGUGGCU
Eimeria tenella is the source of this 73-nucleotide non-coding RNA. NCBI's taxonomy places the organism in Eukaryota, Apicomplexa, Conoidasida, Eucoccidiorida, Eimeriidae. The record is from Rfam.